GUCUUAUUGAAUAUAAUUUUAAGUCGAUCUGCCCAAUGAAAUAAUUUUUGAAUGGCUGCAGUAUAACUGACUGUACAAAGGUAGCAUAAUAGAUUGGUUUUUAAAUGAAAUCUGGAAUGAAAGGAUUAAUGAAAUAUGAACUGUCUCAUUUAUAUUUUAUGAAAUUAAAAUUUUAAUAAAAAUGUUAAAAUUUUUUUAUGGGACGAAAAGACCCUAUAGAAUUUUAUAUUGAUAAUACUUAGUAGUUAAUAUUGAAUCAUUAUCGAUAUUUAGUUGGGAGGACUAUUAGAUUUAACAAACUCUUUAUUUAUGUAAACUUUGAUUUAAGAAAAUAUAGUGACCUUCAAUUUGAAAUCAGUAGAAUAAAUUACCUUAGGGAUAACAGCGUAAUACUUUUUUAUAGACCUUAUAGAAAAAAGUGGUUGCGACCUCGAUGUUGAAUUAAGAUAAAUUUUAAAUGCAGGAGUUUAAUAAUUAAGUCUGUUCGACUUUUAAAAUCUUACAUGAUUUGAGUUCAAAUCGACGUAAGU
RNAcentral lists this ribosomal RNA (530 nucleotides) under Wallacetrigona incisa. Its description in RNAcentral is "partial 16S large subunit ribosomal RNA". It matches the Rfam family "Bacterial large subunit ribosomal RNA", at positions 1861 to 2626 of the family's 2925-position model. Lineage: Eukaryota; Metazoa; Arthropoda; Insecta; Hymenoptera; Apidae. The record is from RNAcentral.